RNAcentral lists this transfer RNA (71 nucleotides) under Marmota monax (woodchuck). RNAcentral describes it as "tRNA.Ala". It matches the Rfam family "tRNA". From Rfam's summary of the family: Transfer RNA (tRNA) molecules are approximately 80 nucleotides in length. Their secondary structure includes four short double-helical elements and three loops (D, anti-codon, and T loops). The record is from RNAcentral. Lineage: Eukaryota; Metazoa; Chordata; Mammalia; Rodentia; Sciuridae.
GGGGUUGUGGCUUAGUGGUAGAGUGCUUGCCUAGCAUGUAUGAGGUGCUGAGUUCGAUCCUUAGCACCACA